Molecule: long non-coding RNA, 646 nt
Filed under: Homo sapiens (human)
Lineage: Eukaryota; Metazoa; Chordata; Mammalia; Primates; Hominidae
Description: non-protein coding lnc-PSMA1-2:7
Source: RNAcentral
UGAGACUGUAGAUUUGAUAAAUAACAGAAGCCUAGCAUAACAAUGAAAUUAAGAAAUAAUUGUUAAUUUAUUACAUAUAGGUAAUUUAAAUGAACUAGUUAAACAUGGUCUGCGUGCCUUAAGAGAGACGCUUCCUGCAGAACAGGACCUGACUACAAAGAAUGUUUCCAUUGGAAUUGUUGGUAAAGACUUGGAGUUUACAAUCUAUGAUGAUGAUGAUGUGUCUCCAUUCCUGGAAGGUCUUGAAGAAAGACCACAGAGAAAGGCACAGCCUGCUCAACCUGCUGAUGAACCUGCAGAAAAGGCUGAUGAACCAAUGGAACAUUAAGUGAUAAGCCAGUCUAUAUAUGUAUUAUCAAAUAUGUAAGAAUACAGGCACCACAUACUGAUGACAAUAAUCUAUACUUUGAACCAAAAGUUGCAGAGUGGUGGAAUGCUAUGUUUUAGGAAUCAGUCCAGAUGUGAGUUUUUUCCAAGCAACCUCACUGAAACCUAUAUAAUGGAAUACAUUUUUCUUUGAAAGGGUCUGUAUAAUCAUUUUCUAGAAAGUAUGGGUAUCUAUACUAAUGUUUUUAUAUGAAGAACAUAGGUGUCUUUGUGGUUUUAAAGACAACUGUGAAAUAAAAUUGUUUCACCGCCUGGUAUA